RNAcentral lists this transfer RNA (70 nucleotides) under Dipodomys ordii (Ord's kangaroo rat). It matches the Rfam family "tRNA". From Rfam's summary of the family: Transfer RNA (tRNA) molecules are approximately 80 nucleotides in length. Their secondary structure includes four short double-helical elements and three loops (D, anti-codon, and T loops). The record is from Rfam by way of RNAcentral. Lineage: Eukaryota; Metazoa; Chordata; Mammalia; Rodentia; Heteromyidae.
GGCAAAGUGGCUCAGUGGUAGAGUGCUUGCCUUGCAUGCAUGAGGGCCUGGGUUCGAUUCCUUAGCACCA